Molecule: ribosomal RNA, 900 nt
Filed under: Bacillus thuringiensis
Lineage: Bacteria; Bacillati; Bacillota; Bacilli; Caryophanales; Bacillaceae
Description: bacterial SSU rRNA
Rfam family: Bacterial small subunit ribosomal RNA
Source: RNAcentral
CGGGGCUAAUACCGGAUAACAUUUUGAACCGCAUGGUUCGAAAUUGAAAGGCGGCUUCGGCUGUCACUUAUGGAUGGACCCGCGUCGCAUUAGCUAGUUGGUGAGGUAACGGCUCACCAAGGCAACGAUGCGUAGCCGACCUGAGAGGGUGAUCGGCCACACUGGGACUGAGACACGGCCCAGACUCCUACGGGAGGCAGCAGUAGGGAAUCUUCCGCAAUGGACGAAAGUCUGACGGAGCAACGCCGCGUGAGUGAUGAAGGCUUUCGGGUCGUAAAACUCUGUUGUUAGGGAAGAACAAGUGCUAGUUGAAUAAGCUGGCACCUUGACGGUACCUAACCAGAAAGCCACGGCUAACUACGUGCCAGCAGCCGCGGUAAUACGUAGGUGGCAAGCGUUAUCCGGAAUUAUUGGGCGUAAAGCGCGCGCAGGUGGUUUCUUAAGUCUGAUGUGAAAGCCCACGGCUCAACCGUGGAGGGUCAUUGGAAACUGGGAGACUUGAGUGCAGAAAAGGAAAGUGGAAUUCCAUGUGUAGCGGUGAAAUGCGUAAAGAUAUGGAGGAACACCAGUGGCAAAGGCGACUUUCUGGUCUGUAACUGACACUGAGGCGCAAAAGCGUGGGGAACAAACAGGAAUAGAUACCCUGGUAGUCCACACCGUAAACAAUGAAUGCUAAGUGUUAGAGGGUUUCCGCCCUUUAGUGCUGAAGUUAACGCAUUAAGCACUCCCGCCGGGGGAGAACGGCCGCAGGGCUGAAGAUACAAAGAAUAGAAAAGCGGCCCGCAGAAGCGGGUGAGAGACGUAUGUGUAGUAGAAAGCACCGCGAAGAACAUUACGAGGACGUGAGAUCAGCAGACAGCCCGACAGAUAUGAGAUGAGCUGCCAGCAGAGAAGUACCAG